UGCGCAGGCGGGCUAAUAAGUCAGUGGUGAAAUCUUUCGGCUUAACCGGGAAACUGCCAUUGAUACUGUUAGUCUUGAGUUCGGUUGAGGUAGGCGGAAUGUGUAAUGUAGCGGUGAAAUGCUUAGAUAUUACACAGAACACCAAUUGCGUAGGCAGCUUACUAGACCGACACUGACGCUGAGGGACGAAGGCCAGGGGAGCGAACCGGAUUAGAUACCCGCGUAGUCC
RNAcentral lists this ribosomal RNA (229 nucleotides) under uncultured bacterium. Its description in RNAcentral is "partial 16S ribosomal RNA". It matches the Rfam family "Bacterial small subunit ribosomal RNA", at positions 568 to 796 of the family's 1533-position model. The record is from RNAcentral.